Molecule: ribosomal RNA, 253 nt
Filed under: uncultured bacterium
Lineage: Bacteria
Description: partial 16S ribosomal RNA
Rfam family: Bacterial small subunit ribosomal RNA
Source: RNAcentral
UACGAAGGGGGCUAGCGUUGUUCGGAAUUACUGGGCGUAAAGGGCGCGUAGGCGGUGUGUCAAGUCAGGCGUGAAAGCCCCGGGCUUAACCUGGGAACUGCGUUUGAUACGGGUGGGCUAGAGUUCGGGAGAGGAGAGUGGAAUUCCCAGUGUAGAGGUGAAAUUCGUAGAUAUUGGGAAGAACACCGGUGGCGAAGGCGGCUCUCUGGACCGAUACUGACGCUGAGGCGCGGAAGCGUGGGGAGCAAACAGG